This 503-nucleotide ribosomal RNA is filed under the name Metarhizium anisopliae. RNAcentral describes it as "eukaryotic LSU rRNA". The stretch from base 146 to 299 matches the Rfam family "5.8S ribosomal RNA". The record is from RNAcentral. Lineage: Eukaryota; Fungi; Ascomycota; Sordariomycetes; Hypocreales; Clavicipitaceae.
GAUCAUUACCGAGUUAUCCAACUCCCAACCCCUGUGAAUUAUACCUUUAAUUGUUGCUUCGGCGGGACUUCGCGCCCGCCGGGGACCCAAACCUUCUGAAUUUUUUAAUAAGUAUCUUCUGAGUGGUUAAAAAAAAAUGAAUCAAAACUUUCAACAACGGAUCUCUUGGUUCUGGCAUCGAUGAAGAACGCAGCGAAAUGCGAUAAGUAAUGUGAAUUGCAGAAUUCAGUGAAUCAUCGAAUCUUUGAACGCACAUUGCGCCCGUCAGUAUUCUGGCGGGCAUGCCUGUUCGAGCGUCAUUACGCCCCUCAAGUCCCCUGUGGACUUGGUGUUGGGGAUCGGCGAGGCUGGUUUUCCAGCACAGCCGUCCCUCAAAUCAAUUGGCGGUCUCGCCGUGGCCCCUCCUCUGCGCAGUAGUAAAACACUCGCAACAGGAGCCCGGCGCGGUCCACUGCCGUAAAACCCCCCAACUUUUUAUAGUGACCUCGAAUCAGGUAGGACUA